RNAcentral lists this unclassified non-coding RNA (344 nucleotides) under soil metagenome. RNAcentral's name for it is "partial contains 5.8S ribosomal RNA, internal transcribed spacer 2, and large subunit ribosomal RNA". The stretch from base 1 to 120 matches the Rfam family "5.8S ribosomal RNA", at positions 35 to 154 of the family's 154-position model. The record is from RNAcentral.
GAUGAAGAACGUAGCGAAAUGCGAUACGUAAUGUGAAUUGCAGAAUUCAGUGAAUCAUCGAGUCUUUGAACGCACAUUGCGCCCCCUGGUAUUCCCGGGGGCAUGCCUGUCCGAGCGUCAUUGCUGCCCUCAAGCACGGCUUGUGUGUUGGGCCUCCGUCCUCCUCCCGGGGGACGGGCCCGAAAGGCAGCGGCGGCACCGCGUCCGGUCCUCGAGCGUAUGGGGCUUCGUCACCCGCUCUUGUAGGCCCGGCCGGCGCUUGCCGACACAUCAAUCUUUUUUCCAGGUUGACCUCGGAUCAGGUAGGGAUACCCGCUGAACUUAAGCAUACAAUAAGCGGAGGA